This 574-nucleotide ribosomal RNA is filed under the name uncultured Gammaproteobacteria bacterium. Its description in RNAcentral is "bacterial SSU rRNA". It matches the Rfam family "Bacterial small subunit ribosomal RNA", at positions 778 to 1348 of the family's 1533-position model. The record is from RNAcentral. Lineage: Bacteria; Pseudomonadati; Pseudomonadota; Gammaproteobacteria.
UUAGAUACCCUGGUAAGUCCACGCUGUAAACCGAUGUCGAUUUGGAGGUUGUACCCUUGGAGGCGUGGGCUUCCGAGCUACGCGGUUAAAUCGACCGCCUGGGGAGUACGGCCGCAAGGUUAAAACUCAAAUGAAUUGACGGGGGCCCGCACAAGCGGUGGAGCAUGUGGUUUAAUUCGAUGCAACGCGAAGAACCUUACCUACUCUUGACAUGCAGAGAACUAUCCAGAGAUGGAUUGGUGCCUUCGGGAACUCUGAGACAGGUGCUGCAUGGCUGUCGUCAGCUCGUGUUGUGAAAUGUUGGGUUAAGUCCCGCAACGAGCGCAACCCUUAUCCUUUGUUGCCAGCGGUUCGGCCGGGAACUCAAAGGAGACUGCCAGUGAUAAACUGGAGGAAGGUGGGGAUGACGUCAAGUCAUCAUGGCCCUUACGAGUAGGGCUACACACGUGCUACAAUGGCAUAUACAAAGAGAAGCGACCUCGCGAGAGCAAGCGGACCUCAUAAAGUAAUGUCGUAGUCCGGAUUGGAGUCUGCAACUCGACUCCAUGAAGUCGGAAUCGCUAGUAAUCGUAGA